UGGGGAAUUUUGGACAAUGGGCGAAAGCCUGAUCCAGCAAUGCCGCGUGUGUGAAGAAGGCCUUCGGGUUGUAAAGCGCUUUUGUCCGGAAAGAAAUCCUUGGCUCUAAUACAGUCGGGGGAUGACGGUACCGGAAGAAUAAGCACCGGCUAACUACGUGCCAGCAGCCGCGGUAAUACGUAGGGUGCAAGCGUUAAUCGGAAUUACUGGGCGUAAAGCGUGCGCAGGCGGUUUGCUAAGACCGAUGUGAAAUCCCCGGGCUCAACCUGGGAACUGCAUUGGUGACUGGCAGGCUAGAGUAUGGCAGAGGGGGGUAGAAUUCCACGUGUAGCAGUGAAAUGCGUAGAGAUGUGGAGGAAUACCGAUGGCGAAGGCAGCCCCCUGGGCCAAUACUGACGCUCAUGCACGAAAGCGUGGGGAGCAAACAGGAUUAGAUACCCUGGUAGUCCACGCCCUAAACGAUGUCAACUAGUUGUUGGGGAUUCAUUCCUUAGUAACGUAGCUAACGCGUGAAGUUGACCGCCUGGGGAGUACGGUCGCAAGAUUAAAACUCAAAUGAAUUGAC
This 565-nucleotide ribosomal RNA is filed under the name uncultured bacterium. RNAcentral's name for it is "partial 16S ribosomal RNA". It matches the Rfam family "Bacterial small subunit ribosomal RNA", at positions 355 to 914 of the family's 1533-position model. The record is from RNAcentral.